Molecule: ribosomal RNA, 404 nt
Filed under: uncultured bacterium
Lineage: Bacteria
Description: bacterial SSU rRNA
Rfam family: Bacterial small subunit ribosomal RNA
Source: RNAcentral
CCACGGAAGUUCUCAGAGAUGAGAAUGUGCCUUCGGGAACCGUGAGACAGGUGCUGCAUGGCUGUCGUCAGCUCGUGUUGUGAAAUGUUGGGUUAAGUCCCGCAACGAGCGCAACCCUUAUCCUUUGUUGCCAGCGGUCCGGCCGGGAACUCAAAGGAGACUGUUAGUGAUAAACUGGAGGAAGGUGGGGAUGACGUCAAGUCAUCAUGGCCCUUACGACCAGGGCUACACACGUGCUACAAUGGCUGGUACAAAGAGAAGCGAAAGGGAGACCUGAAGCGAAUCUCAUCAAAGCCAGUCAUAGUUCGGAUUGCAGGCUGCAACUCGCCUGCAUGAAGUCGGAGUUGCUAGUAACCGCAGGUCAGCAAUACUGCGGUGAAUACGUUCCCGGGCCUUGUACACAC